UAGAACUAAUGCUCUGAGAAGUGGAAUGACGGAGUAACGUCCCGAAACGCUUCCCUUAAUACUCCGACUGGCAGUUUGAAAUGUAAUUAGAGAACUGUCAGACGCUCGGUGAAGUCGAGAGAGAGUUGCCCAAACAGGACAAAUAUGUAGCUGUGGAAAGCUGUUCAGCGAUGAAUGGUGCAACCUAUAUUUCGGAGGUCUAUAAA
RNAcentral lists this non-coding RNA (206 nucleotides) under Anaerotignum propionicum DSM 1682. The record is from RNAcentral. Lineage: Bacteria; Bacillati; Bacillota; Clostridia; Lachnospirales; Anaerotignaceae.